This 425-nucleotide ribosomal RNA is filed under the name uncultured bacterium. RNAcentral describes it as "partial 16S ribosomal RNA". It matches the Rfam family "Bacterial small subunit ribosomal RNA", at positions 354 to 796 of the family's 1533-position model. The record is from RNAcentral.
GUGGGGAAUAUUGGGCAAUGGGGGAAACCCUGACCCAGCAACGCCGCGUGAAGGAAGAAGGUUUUCGGAUCGUAAACUUCUAUCCUUGGUGAAGAUAAUGACGGUAGCCAAGUAGGAAGCCCCGGCUAACUACGUGCCAGCAGCCGCGGUAAUACGUAGGGGGCAAGCGUUGUCCGGAAUGAUUGGGCGUAAAGGGCGCGUAGGCGGCCUGGUAAGUCUGGAGUGAAAGUCCUGCUUUUAAGGUGGGAAUUGCUUUGGAUACUGUCGGGCUUGAGUGCAGGAGAGGUAAGCGGAAUUCCCGGUGUAGCGGUGAAAUGCGUAGAGAUCGGGAGGAACACCAGUGGCGAAGGCGGCUUACUGGACUGUAACUGACGCUGAGGCGCGAAAGUGUGGGGAGCAAACAGGAUUAGAAACCCUAGUAGUCC